AAGUCAUCUUGCUGGUAUCCCGCAAAUCUCUGGUAAAUCAUAGCCCGAAAAGUAGUUUUGAUUCAGAGACCGGCCCGUGAGAAUAUUGGAACAGUUACAAGUUAGAGCAGUAGUUCUUUUGGCCUUGUUUCCUCAAACAGUCAGUGUCUGAAAGUGUCAUUGAUUGUGCAAGGAUAACGCUUCACGAUUCUUGUAAACCCAUCUCGCCUAGUGCCCCCUUGCAACCCCACAGUUUGUGGGAAGCUCAAUGUAAUACAUUGGAAACCGAACAACUGUGAACAAUGGAUAUAUUGGUUCUC
This 299-nucleotide unclassified non-coding RNA is filed under the name fungal sp. RNAcentral describes it as "partial internal transcribed spacer region". Lineage: Eukaryota; Fungi. The record is from RNAcentral.